RNAcentral lists this ribosomal RNA (490 nucleotides) under uncultured bacterium. RNAcentral describes it as "bacterial SSU rRNA". It matches the Rfam family "Bacterial small subunit ribosomal RNA", at positions 30 to 513 of the family's 1533-position model. The record is from RNAcentral.
AUUGAACGCUGGCGGCAUGCCUUACACAUGCAAGUCGAACGGCAGCACGGGAGCAAUCCUGGUGGCGAGUGGCGAACGGGUGAGUAAUAUAUCGGAACGUGCCCAGUCGUGGGGGAUAACUACUCGAAAGAGUGGCUAAUACCGCAUACGAUCUACGGAUGAAAGCGGGGGACCUUCGGGCCUCGCGCGAUUGGAGCGGCCGAUAUCAGAUUAGGUAGUUGGUAGGGUAAAAGCCUACCAAGCCUGCGAUCUGUAGCUGGUCUGAGAGGACGACCAGCCACACUGGAACUGAGACACGGUCCAGACUCCUACGGGAGGCAGCAGUGGGGAAUUUUGGACAAUGGACGCAAGUCUGAUCCAGCCAUUCCGCGUGCAGGAUGAAGGCCCUCGGGUUGUAAACUGCUUUUGUACGGAACGAAAAGGUUUGUCUUAAUACGAUGAGCUCAUGACGGUACCGUAAGAAUAAGCACCGGCUAACUACGUGCCAGCA